Molecule: ribosomal RNA, 551 nt
Filed under: uncultured bacterium
Lineage: Bacteria
Description: partial 16S ribosomal RNA
Rfam family: Bacterial small subunit ribosomal RNA
Source: RNAcentral
UGGGGAAUUUUGGACAAUUGGGCGAAAGCCUGAUCCAGCAAUGCCGCGUGUGUGAAGAAGGCCUUCGGGUUGUAAAGCACUUUUGUCCGGAAAGAAAUCCUUGGCUCUAAUACAGUCGGGGGAUGACGGUACCGGAAGAAUAAGCACCGGCUAACUACGUGCCAGCAGCCGCGGUAAUACGUAGGGUGCAAGCGUUAAUCGGAAUUACUGGGCGUAAAGCGUGCGCAGGCGGUUUGCUAAGACCGAUGUGAAAAUCCCCGGGCUCAACCUGGGAACUGCAUUGGUGACUGGCAGGCUAGAGUAUGGCAGAGGGGGGUAGAAUUCCACGUGUAGCAGUGAAAUGCGUAGAGAUGUGGAGGAAUACCGAUGGCGAAGGCAGCCCCCUGGGCAAUACUGACGCUCAUGCACGAAAGCGUGGGGAGCAAACAGGAUUAGAUACCCUGGUAGUCCACGCCCUAAACGAUGUCAACUAGUUGUUGGGGAUUCAUUUCCUUAGUAACGUAGCUAACGCGUGAAGUUGACCGCCUGGGGAGUACGUCGCAAGAUUAAAA